This 504-nucleotide ribosomal RNA is filed under the name Triticum aestivum (bread wheat). RNAcentral's name for it is "partial small subunit ribosomal RNA". The record is from RNAcentral. Lineage: Eukaryota; Viridiplantae; Streptophyta; Magnoliopsida; Poales; Poaceae.
AUGGGGUUCAGACGUCCCAGCAAGAUCCAGGCUGUCACGCUUCCCAUGAUCCUCACGUCUCUCUACAAGAACCUCGUAGCCCAGGCGCACAACGGCUCCGGCAAGACCACCUGCUUCGUCCUCGGCAUGCUCAGCCGCGUCGACCCCAGCCGCAGGACUCCCCAGGCCAUCUGCAUAUGCCCUACCGGGGAGCUUGCGCAGCAGGUGUUGAUCCAGGCAGAUCUCUUCCUGAACAAUCUGACCAGCAUGUGCGAGAGGAGCACAGAGAAGGGCUCUAUGUGGGUCACCAUGAAGCGAUCGUCGAUGAAGUGUCAGGCUAGGUUGAAGAAGAUGGCGAGUAAGGGGGAGCCUAUUGAGUACUGGUGCCUGGUCUGUGCCACCGAUGGCAAGAGGAACAUCUCCACCUCGGGAGCUCCGCAUCCGAGUCUCGUCCAUCCUCAGCAGCAAGGAGCUGGGCCAAGGGAGCAAGCAGCGCUGCUGGUUACUUGGGGCCAGAUCGAGUAA